AUGCACCCUAAAGCAAGUAAGCAGCUGCCCUCCCCUACAAAGAGUACAUGCGAGCACAAAUUCAUCGUACUACCAGCUAGGCACCCAUCCAGCCAGAGAUCAAUGGCGAACCUAAAGAAGGUUGGACCGUAUGGAUAUGGUAGCCUUGAUGGUAAUAUUGUGGACAUCGAUUGGAACAAAUCGCCAGAGGAACUCGUGAGCAUCGAGAUUUGGGGCAACCACAAUGCCGGAGGGAUGAUCUAUGCCAUGUCCUUCACCUACCGUGAUGAGAAAGGGGAUUUAGUCCCGGUAGGUCCAUGGGGUAGCAAGAAAGGCGAAAAACGCACGAUCUCCAUUGCAAAUAAUUUGGUCGCACUCAGGGGCAGCACCAGCGGCAGCUACGUCACCUCGCUCACAUUCAAAACCAGCAUCACCCAGUACGGGGAUUCUUUCUUUUGCGGGGAUACCGUAAGCGACGAUAAUUUCUCCAUCGAUGUGCGCCCCAACUCCAUCGUUGCCUUUUUCGGCCGCUCCGACGAAGGUGGCCUCAGGGCCAUCGGAGCCUAUUCUGGUCCCCGGGCCGCCUCAGUGCCGUCGGCCAGGCUUGAUCGAUCUUUUCGUCAUGGUAGCGUCUAUGGUAAUGCUGUCGACAUCAAUCGCAACAACCCGCCGGAAAAACUCUUAAGCAUCGAGAUUUGGAGCAAGAACGGCCCCAAUGGAAUGAUGAAUGGCAUAUCCUUCAUCUACCGUGAUGAGGAUGGGGGUUUUGUCCCGACAGAUCCAGCAUGGGGCAUCAAGCAAGGUCAAAGACAACUGAUCCCCAUUGAAGAUGAAGAUGAAUAUUUGAUCACACUCACCGGCAGCACCAACAGCACGAACGUUACCUCGCUCACAUUCAAAACAAACAAAAAUAUAUAUGGGCCGUACGGGAAGAGCCAACCAGCAGAUACUCCUUUCUGCAUCGAUGUGGGCCCCAACAACUCCAUCGUUGCCUUCUACGGCCGCGCCGACGAAGGUGGCCUCAGGGCCAUCGGAGCCCAUAUAUAUUCUGGUCCCCAGGCUUGA
Molecule: ribosomal RNA, 1044 nt
Filed under: Triticum aestivum (bread wheat)
Lineage: Eukaryota; Viridiplantae; Streptophyta; Magnoliopsida; Poales; Poaceae
Description: partial small subunit ribosomal RNA
Source: RNAcentral